GACGAACGCUGGCGGCGUGCUUAACACAUGCAAGUCGAACGGAAAGGCCCUGCUUUUGUGGGGUGCUCGAGUGGCGAACGGGUGAGUAACACGUGAGUAACCUGCCCUUGACUUUGGGAUAACUUCAGGAAACUGGGGUUAAUACCGGAUAGGAGCUCCUGCUGCAUGGUGGGGGUCGGAAAGUUUCGGCGGUUGGGGAUGGACUCGCGGCUUAUCAGCUUGUUGGUGGGGUAGUGGCUUACCAAGGCUUUGACGGGUAGCCGGCCUGAGAGGGUGACCGGCCACAUUGGGACUGAGAUACGGCCCAGACUCCUACGGGAGGCAGCAGUGGGGAAUAUUGCACAAUGGGCGGAAGCCUGAUGCAGCAACGCCGCGUGCGGGAUGACGGCCUUCGGGUUGUAAACCGCUUUCGCCUGUGACGAAGCGUGAGUGACGGUAAUGGGUAAAGAAGCACCGGCUAACUACGUG
This 468-nucleotide ribosomal RNA is filed under the name uncultured bacterium. RNAcentral describes it as "partial 16S ribosomal RNA". It matches the Rfam family "Bacterial small subunit ribosomal RNA", at positions 28 to 507 of the family's 1533-position model. The record is from RNAcentral.